ACAAACUUGGUCAUUUAGAGGAAGUAAAAGUCGUAACAAGGUUUCCGUAGGUGAACCUGCGGAAGGAUCAUUAGAGAAAAAUGAGUAAAACUUUCUUCAACUCGUCUUGCUCUCUGUUGGCCUUUUACUGGCUGUUGGCUUUACUGGCUGUUGGCCUCUGGCCAACAGAGAGCAAAACAGCAAACUAUAAUACCUGAACAACCAAACCACUAACAUACAUGAGAACCUUGCCGCAAUGGAUCUCUCGGCUCUUGCAUCAAUGAAGAACGCAGC
This 273-nucleotide unclassified non-coding RNA is filed under the name uncultured fungus. RNAcentral's name for it is "partial contains small subunit ribosomal RNA, internal transcribed spacer 1, and 5.8S ribosomal RNA". The stretch from base 1 to 73 matches the Rfam family "Eukaryotic small subunit ribosomal RNA", at positions 1759 to 1831 of the family's 1831-position model. Lineage: Eukaryota; Fungi. The record is from RNAcentral.